UUUUCGGAGAGUUUGAUCCUGGCUCAGGAUGAACGCUGGCGGCGUGCCUUACACAUGCAAGUCGAGCGGAGAAGAUUUUCUGUGGCAACACAGGAGUCUUCUUAGCGGCAAACGGGUGAGUAAUGGAUGAGUAACCUACCCUGUAGAUGGGGAUAGCCAUCCGAAAGGAUGGGUAAUACCCAAUAAUGUUGGAGGACUUCGGUUCUCCAAAGAAAGGUGGCGCAAGCUACCGCUUCAGGAUGGGCUCAUCUCCUAUCAGCU
Molecule: ribosomal RNA, 261 nt
Filed under: Caldisericum exile
Lineage: Bacteria; Pseudomonadati; Caldisericota; Caldisericia; Caldisericales; Caldisericaceae
Description: partial 16S ribosomal RNA
Rfam family: Bacterial small subunit ribosomal RNA
Source: RNAcentral